AGUGAACGCUGGCGGCAGGCCUAACACAUGCAAGUCGAGCGGCUGAAGAGUACUUGCUCGUGCUUACAGGUGCGGACUGGCGGGUAAGGCAUAAAAAUCUGCCAGUUAGCUUUGUCUAACGUGCGGAAACGGGGGCUCAUACCGCAUUCGUCCUUAGGAAGAAAGGGGGGGAUCAUGGGACCUUCGGCUCUCGCAUGAUCCUAGGUCGGAUUAGCUAGUUGGUGGGGUAAAGGCCCACCAAGGCGACGAUCCGUAGCUGGUCUGAGAGGAUGAUCAGCCACACUGGAACUGAGACACGGUCCAGACUCCUACGGGAGGCAGCAGUGGGGAAUAUUGGACAAUGGGCGCAAGCCUGAUCCAGCCAUGCCGCGUGUGUGAAGAAGGUCUUCGGAUUGUAAAGCCCUUUUAUUUGGGAGGAAAAGCAGUAAGUUAAUACCUCGCUGUUCUGACGUUACCAAAAGAAUAAGCACCGGCUAACUUCGUG
RNAcentral lists this ribosomal RNA (484 nucleotides) under uncultured bacterium. RNAcentral describes it as "partial 16S ribosomal RNA". It matches the Rfam family "Bacterial small subunit ribosomal RNA", at positions 29 to 507 of the family's 1533-position model. The record is from RNAcentral.